AGAAAAGCAAGAGUCAAGGAAGUGACAUAGAAGAAGCUAGUUACAAUGGCUUUACCAAACAUCAACUAGGAGAAAUGGUUACCAACUUGACCACCCCCAGUGAUGUCAUCAAAUGCCUUUUUAAGGCACUAUUUACUGUUGAAGAAUUGACGUCAUCAAGUGUGACGGGGAAGAAGACAGUGAAAGGGGACAUGAAGGAUGGAUUAGAGGAAACUAAAAGACAAUGUGCAGAAGCCGUUGUUCAAAAUAAAUUUCCUGAAAUGUCCAUCAAAGAAAUUUGAAAUAAAAUGAGGGACAGACUAAAGAUGUUCAGGAGGAGCCACCUUCCCCAACCAUCAGAAUAAUGAGAUAAGAUUUCUCAAAAACAAUUUAUAUUUUGAACUAUUUUAGUUGUUAUAUUAAGUAGUAGUUUUAUUUUAA
Ostrea edulis (European flat oyster) is the source of this 420-nucleotide long non-coding RNA. RefSeq lists it as uncharacterized. Lineage: Eukaryota; Metazoa; Mollusca; Bivalvia; Ostreida; Ostreidae. The record is from RefSeq and is a predicted model, not a curated record. The transcript has 3 exons.